ACGGGGACGUGGCAGGUCAGACAAGACUCUUGCUGACGCUGAGGGGAACAGUGAGAAGAAGGCUGAAGAGUUGCCACAGGUUUCUGCCAAGGUCAUUGCUUGCUAUAGCAGGAGGGGACGCAUGCGUGGAAGGGGACUGGACAC
This is a long non-coding RNA of Lolium rigidum, 144 nucleotides long. RefSeq lists it as uncharacterized. Lineage: Eukaryota; Viridiplantae; Streptophyta; Magnoliopsida; Poales; Poaceae. The transcript is spliced from 3 exons. The record is from RefSeq and is a predicted model, not a curated record.